Molecule: long non-coding RNA, 4216 nt
Organism: Cydia pomonella (codling moth)
Lineage: Eukaryota; Metazoa; Arthropoda; Insecta; Lepidoptera; Tortricidae
Exons: 2
Source: RefSeq, a predicted model, not a curated record
GCUGUUUCGUUACUACAAGAAGUAACUAUACUAGAACCUAAAUGGACAGUGUGCGGUUUAAGACGAAUUUCCUCCCGGGGCCCCUCCGGCUGUGGAAUGAGCACCCUGCCGAGGUUUUCCCAAGGAUCUACAGUAUGGGGUUCUUCAAAAAGGAGUGUACAGGCUGCGGUGACUGCUUAGCAUAAGGCGAGACGUUUACUUUGUUUGCCACCGACGUGGUAUAAAAACCAAACUGGAGUGCUUGGUUACUUUUUCUUCAGUGUAUGAUAUCUAUUUCAGUUUAGGUACAUAUCUUAAAUUAAAGUUGCCUCAUAAUAAUCUUACACGCAAUGAAAAUUAUAUCCCUAUUGUAUCUCACAUUGGAUAUGGAAUCGCACGUCGCUGCAUAAGGCGUCUCGCUCACACACCUCAGCAGCGUGAGGAUCACAACAGUGUGUGAUAACCGUAUUACUAACUGUUGCUCUAAAUUCAUUAAUUUCUAUUGAAUACAGUUAGGCAGCGUUUCCACCAGACAUGUGCGAGGAUGCGUAGCAAGGGAUUGGCCUCUUAAUAACCAAUAGUAUCACUUCACGCUGAGCAAGGAUAUGUAAAAGAAGUGAUUCUAUUGGUUCUUAAAAAACACAUCCUCGCACAUCUCUGGUGGAAACACAGCUUUAGGAUAACACCAAAUAUUAUAGUUAUUGUUAAGGCGAUACACCUACCAUUGUUUUAUUUUAAUGAAUGCUCUAUAAAAUAGCCCCAGCUAAUUCCAUUAUUUUGCUUUUGAAAUGGCUGUCAGUAAAGCGUAAUUAAUUGUAGACGCGGCGUCAAGUCUAAGAAAUACCCGUGCUUCGAAAUUGACAGCUGAAAUAGAUGCGGCGUGUAGCUCCGCGCAUUAAUAAAUAACUAAUAUUAUAGGACAAUUUCACACUGGUGGUCCGAUAGUAACCUCAAUAAGGCUUGUGUUACAUUACACGGUAACUCUGGCUAACUUGUAAAAAGUUGGCGUUAGACAAUGCAGCUUAUCACAUACAUGUAGGUAUCUAGUUCGGUUGUAAAACUCAGGGGCCCUUUUUUUUCUUAGAAACUUCAUAAAUAUCAAUAACGUUUUUCUGAUAGCAAAUGUGUUUUGUGAUUAAUUAAAAACCGGCUAAGUGCGAGUCGAACUCGACACAAUCUCGAUUUUUACUUAAUUAUAGGUUAUUCUAGUAGUUUUUCUAAAAUAACUUCAAAAUGAUCUACCCUAAAAUUAUGAAAAUGAAAAUUUGCUCUAACUGUCUACUAGUUUAGGAGCAAAUGGGUUGUGAUAGACACUAAUAAUCCUAUAAGGCUUCCGUUUUUUCCUUUAAAGGUAGGUACGGAACCCUAAAUAUAAAGUUAAAUCCCUGUCUAAACCUUGUUCAGCAUAACUAUUCCCUUAGCACCGCUGCAUACGAAUAUAAAAUAGGCAACAUAGCCAUAUUCAAAUUAAAAUAGUUAAUUAACGUUCAAUAUCAGGAAACGUGGUGAAGAGAGGCUGAAAAUUGUGAAGCAUAAACCCAGUGUUCUCACCCGCCGUAUGUCGGGGCGUUUGAAUAUUUCAUGUUCGAUAAUUUAUUGCAUGAUUUACUACGGAGGGUACUUUGCAGGUUAGGAUAUAUGCACACGUUUUCACGCUCGCUAAUGAUACUGAGGAAUCGGAGCGUGCGGGGUGAUUGGAAAAGGAUUCCGAUGUCGUUUUGUUAGUGUUUGAAGCCAAAGAUUGAUUCUUAGUGCCAUUUCAUUUUGUUGACUACAAUAUCUAUGUAAUUUUUAAAGUCUUCUGACUGGAAAGAAACGGGUAUCAAUGGAGAUUUGGUACAAACAGCGUUGCGUCAUAUACUAAUUACAAUCAGGGUGCGUAUAGCCAACAUGCCAAUGGAUUCGUCUUCGUAGUGAACGAAACGAAACUGUCACUGUCGCACGAAUAUGGAAGAGUGAUAGAGAGACACAAACCGUAGUGAACGAAACGAAACUGUCACUGUCGCACGAAUAUGGAAGAGUGAUAGAGAGACACAAAGCGUUUCGUUGUCGUAGCGCAAGAGAUUGUUACCUUGGCUUGGCACCUAAGUCAGCUCCAAAAUGGCAAAUAAGUAAGUAUAUUUACUGUGGUGAAUUUUAAUAUUUUAUGGGUUAUGUUUUUGUUUUUUUUUUUUAUGGAGGAUAGGCAGGCGUUUGACCACGAUCACACCUGAUGGUAAGUGAUGAUGCGGUCUACGGUGGAGCACGCUUACCUAUGAGAUACCUAUUUACUCUAGCCUUGAAGAGAUUCAGAUUGUACUCAUACGGAAACACAGACUCGUUUUUUGUGUAUCUGUUUUGACGAUCAUAAUAUGAAUUCUUGUAGAUUGACAUGCCUGCAAUUUAUAAUGUAAUCUGUAUUAUGAAAUAAAUAAAUCUAAAUCUAAAAGUUUAUUUGCAAACUAUUCUGAGGUACCUAUACCUUGUACAAGCUCAGAUUCCUACCUACUUUGUCUUAUUUUCACGUGCCUCCUAGCCACUACUGUAUCAAAGCAUUGUACUUGGCAAAAGCGGGUUAUUACUACACGUAAGAGUUGCACGAUUGUACCGAUAAAGAGGAUCAAAUGUUACAACUGUCCCCUGUCGAGAUGUCCGACGUGGCCCGCUUCUACAACCGCUACCCCGACGUCGAGCUAAAUACAUUUAACUUGUAUUAACUAACUUGUAAAAACUUCAUACUUACUGAAGUUACUUACGCACUGCGACAACUGUUUCCAAUUCUGCUCAGUUGUGAUUGUUAGGCGCCCAGCCUAUCCUUCUUAAAUUGGUUGCAUUUCAUGUUGAACGGCCCCCUCAUGAAAUUUACAUACGGAAAUAGUGUAGUUUGCUUUGAUUGAGUGCGUACUCAAUUUCUGUCACUUGAAUGCUUUCGUUUAUCGACAAAGAUUUUAGCUCAAAUUGACUAGAUAUUCUCAAACGUUUUAUUACGUAAGCUUUAGUGGUAGUUGACUUUGCUUUAGUUUAUCCUCAAGGACACAACUUAUUGGAAUCCGAGUGGACUUAUCUUUGUAUUGUAGUUUCUAUAUCUUUAUCUGUUCAAUUAAAUAUUUCGAGAAUUCUGUUAAACAUAUUACAUGAAAAACGGAUUAUAUGGACAUAUAUGAGGGCAUAAUUUUAAUACGCCAAUGAUUUAAUGUCAUCAAAAAUAACCGCACGCCUAAUUACUUCAUCGAAAUUAAUUAAAAUGCAGAAAAUGAUGACCGCGGACGCUGUUUAUUUUGCUUAAUAAUGUAAAAUUACCAUUACUAACAGUAAUUUACCGUAGUUAUUGGAAAUUGAAUUAUGUUUAUUGCGUAAGUAUAGGUACUUGUAAAAAUAUAUUAAUAAAAAUAAGAGAUACCUUUUAAGUUUUUCGACAGUUCCUUUCUAAUUUGAACACAGAAUUUUACCUUUAUUUAUUGGAUGUUUUUUUACUUUAUACCUAAGUUAACUAGGUUAUAAUCUAAAAAUAUACCUUCAUACGAGGUAUACAUGAGGUAUACCUCGUAUAUGUACAUGAGGCACCAGGAAGAGUUAAUAAUAUUUUUCCUAAUCAAACCCAUGGUUAAGGACAUAAAAUACUGCCUUUGCGCACGAUUUGGCAUUCUUUAAUUACUUAUCUAAAUUGAGGCGUACCUAAAUUACAAUCGCCAUAAGGUUUCAUUUAAUGGUUAUAACGUGUGAACGCUGUAUACCCUCAGAUAAGUCGGUCCCUCAUUACUGAGGGUCGUGACUUGGUCGAUCUAGCAUGGAUAGUAUUCUUCAACUUCGGUCGGCUGACUAUUUUGAGGAUUUUUUUGUAGAAACUCUCCGACGUCUCUUUGCAGACUUUUCCGCGUUGUUUGGUCGUUGUAUGAGCCAUAAUUACUAAUAUCUCGCAAAAUACAUGCAGCGGUCAAUGUAAUUAUUUUAUUAUGAUAAAUCGUUAAUAUCUCUUUCUUCUUAAGUGAAUCCUUCGAAGACCCAAGUCAUCAUCAUUGGCAGUAGCAAACUAAUUCCCAGAGUAGAUCUUGCGAAUCUUGCCCCCAUAUACUUUGAUGGUAUCCAGAUUCGACGACCGGUUUGGCCUAGUGGGUAGUGACCCUGCCUACGAAGCUGAUGGUCCCGGGUUCAAAUCCUGGUAAGGGCAUUUAUUCGUGUGAUGAGCAUGGAUAUUUGUUCCUGAGUCAUGGGUGUUUUCUAUGUAUUUAAGAAUUUAUAAAUAUUUAUAUAUUAUAUA